This 495-nucleotide ribosomal RNA is filed under the name uncultured bacterium. RNAcentral describes it as "partial 16S ribosomal RNA". It matches the Rfam family "Bacterial small subunit ribosomal RNA", at positions 28 to 505 of the family's 1533-position model. The record is from RNAcentral.
GAUGAACGCUGGCGGCGUGCCUAAUACAUGCAAGUCGAGCGAACAGACGAGGAGCUUGCUCCUCUGACGUUAGCGGCGGACGGGUGAGUAACACGUGGAUAACCUACCUAUAAGACUGGGAUAACUUCGGGAAACCGGAGCUAAUACCGGAUAAUAUAUUGAACCGCAUGGUUCAAUAGUGAAAGACGGUUUUGCUGUCACUUAUAGAUGGAUCCGCGCCGCAUUAGCUAGUUGGUAAGGUAACGGCUUACCAAGGCAACGAUGCGUAGCCGACCUGAGAGGGUGAUCGGCCACACUGGAACUGAGACACGGUCCAGACUCCUACGGGAGGCAGCAGUAGGGAAUCUUCCGCAAUGGGCGAAAGCCUGACGGAGCAACGCCGCGUGAGUGAUGAAGGUCUUCGGAUCGUAAAACUCUGUUAUUAGGGAAGAACAAAUGUGUUAGUAACUAUGCACGUCUUGACGGUACCUAAUCAGAAAGCCACGGCUAACUACG